UACGGGGGGGGGCAAGCGUUGUUCGGAAUUACUGGGCGUAAAGGGCUCGUAGGCGGCCAACUAAAUCAGACGUGAAAUCCCUCGGCUUAACCGGGGAACUGCAUCUGAUACUGGAUGGCUUGAGAUUGGGAGAGGGAUGCGGAAUUCCAGGUGUAGCGGUGAAAUGCGUAGAUAUCGAGAGGAACACCUGCGGCGAAGGCGGGUUGCUGGGCUGAUACUGACGCUGAGGCGCGAAAGCAUGGGGAGCGAACAGG
This 254-nucleotide ribosomal RNA is filed under the name uncultured bacterium. Its description in RNAcentral is "partial 16S ribosomal RNA". It matches the Rfam family "Bacterial small subunit ribosomal RNA", at positions 524 to 776 of the family's 1533-position model. The record is from RNAcentral.